This 812-nucleotide ribosomal RNA is filed under the name uncultured Actinomycetes bacterium. RNAcentral describes it as "bacterial SSU rRNA". It matches the Rfam family "Bacterial small subunit ribosomal RNA", at positions 69 to 888 of the family's 1533-position model. The record is from RNAcentral. Lineage: Bacteria; Bacillati; Actinomycetota; Actinomycetes.
GGUCCAACCAGUGGCAACACUGGAGACGACCUAGUGGCGAACGGGUGAGUAACACGUGAGGAACCUGCCCCGAAGACCGGGAUAACCCUCCGAAAGGAGAGCUAAUACCGGAUGCCCUCUACUGAUCGCAUGUUCGGUCGAGGAAAUGGAUUCCGCUUCGGGAGGGUCUCGCGGCCUAUCAGCUUGUUGGUGAGGUAACGGCUCACCAAGGCGACGACGGGUAGCUGGUCUGAGAGGACGAUCAGCCACACUGGGACUGAGACACGGCCCAGACUCCUACGGGAGGCAGCAGUGGGGAAUCUUGCGCAAUGGGCGAAAGCCUGACGCAGCAACGCCGCGUGCGGGAUGAAGGCCUUCGGGUUGUAAACCGCUUUCAGUGGGGACGAAUUCAGACGGUACCCACAGAAGAAGCCCCGGCCAACUACGUGCCAGCAGCCGCGGUAACACGUAGGGGGCGAGCGUUGUCCGGAAUCAUUGAGCGUAAAGAGCUCGUAGGCGGCUCAGUAAGUCGGGUGUGAAACCCCCAGGCUCAACCUGGGGACGCCACCCGAUACUGCUGUGGCUAGAGUCCAGUAGGGGAGUGUGGAAGUCCCGGUGUAGCGGUGAAAUGCGCAGAUAUCGGGAGGAACACCAGCGGCGAAGGCGGCACUCUGGGCUGGAACUGACGCUGAGGAGCGAAAGCGUGGGUAGCAAACAGGAUUAGAUACCCUGGUAGUCCACGCCGUAAACGUUGGGCACUANGUGUGGGGACCCUCCAACGGUCUCCGUGCCGUAGCUAACGCAUUAAGUGCCCCGCCUGGGGAGUACGGCCG